Numida meleagris (helmeted guineafowl) is the source of this 1457-nucleotide long non-coding RNA. RefSeq lists it as uncharacterized. The transcript is spliced from 3 exons. The record is from RefSeq and is a predicted model, not a curated record. NCBI's taxonomy places the organism in Eukaryota, Metazoa, Chordata, Aves, Galliformes, Numididae.
UUGCUGGAGAACCCUGUGUAUCUAAGGCCUUCUGAAGGGUGCUGUAGGGAGCAAAGCUGGCCACCUAGAUCCUUGAAGAGAGGCACCACCUUAAUGCUGCUCAGUACAGUACGCUUCCUUUGGACAGAAAGCCAAACCAGUUCUCUGCUGCCAGCUAGAGAAAAGUGAGGAAGGACAAACAAACAGAGUUCAAAUCAUGGAAGACAGAAUCAUAGAAAGGACUGGCUUCCAACAAACAGGGUUAGACCAACCCUGUAAUCGCCAGGGUUCCUGAUCAAGGGGCAGCUCUUCUUGCUGCUGCUGCUGCUCCCCACUAACAGGUUUUCCAUGGCAGCAGCGCAUGUGGACUGCAGCUGGUGACCUGGGGCAGGGCUCCAGUGCCUGGCUGCCUUCAUACGAGGCUCAUUGCUGGCACUGCACCUGCUGGGAAGGACCGAAGAUGCUCUUCCACCAAGGUACAGAGGACAGCUGGGGCAGAGCUGUGCGGUGCCAUGGAGCUGCCCUCAUGCUGUGCUGCUGCUAUGUAAAUGCUUGCACACAGAGCCCUGCAGAGCGCCCUGUGUGUGUUGGGGGUCUAUGGAGAAGGAAUGUGGUUUGAUACCAAUUCCUUUAACUUAUUCAUACCAAAUGUCAGUGUGAUGUCAUAUAAAAAUCUUUAAUGAUUUUAAAACAAAUGGUCUUUGAGGCAGGAAAAUAGUUUAUAGUGCUGUUUCUAAAAUUAAUUUAAUGUUUUUGGAAUAGAAAUAAAAACAAGGGCCUGCUCAGCUGCAUGUGCACUUCAAACAGCAUCUGACUGUACCUGAGGACCCUCCGGCUGCUCUGGGUUCCCUGGCCAUGGGGCUGUGCUGCAGGCAGUGCUCCUGUUGCCUUGCUGCAAUGAGCACCUGCGCUAAUUAGUACCUGUGAUUUGCUUUCGACAGAAGCAGAACCUAUUUUUAUGGCAUUUCCAAAUGACUCAUAACAGUGCAUCUUCUCACCAUAUGUGCAGAAGCCCAGGCCAGCACUGCGCCUGUGUUCUGGGCCUGGAGUCCUCCCCCUGCAGGCUGCUGGGAUGGCAGUGCGUGGUGCUGCCGUGCCACCCGCCCCGCUCACUGUCUGCUGUGCCCUGGCACACUGCUAGCAGCAGCUCCAGCCCUGUGGUCACAGCAGCACGGUGACACUGGAGCAUAUGUGUCUCAAAAGGAGCUCAGCUCAAGAAAGAGGGAGCAAAGGGCAGGAGCUGCUGUGCACACCUGGGGCACAACCAGCUCUUCUGCUCUCCCUGACCAGCUGGGACCUCUGAAACUGGCCAUAAAUGCAGUGAAGCAACAAACGUUUGGGUCAGAUCACUCCAAGUCCAUCCACCAGCCAAGCACUUCUUUAAAGACCAUGUGAUGAUCCUGAUUUAAUGCUUGCAGUUUCGGGUGUCUGGUGCGCCUCCCCCAGUCGGGCCAUGCUCAAGGCCUCUCAAACACCUG